UGAAUGUUGGCAGAAAAUUGUCCAUUUUGUCAUGUUUCCAGCAGCAAUUUAUACAACACCUCAAACAGUCAUCAACAGAGCAAUUUAUAAAAAUAUAGAAGUUAAUAAUCUAAGACAGUCAUGUCAGCAAGCGGAAGAUGCUCUGACUCAAGGCAUGGAGAAAUUGCAGUCGACUCUUGCUGAAACUGUUGCUGCAGGUCAACUGGUAUAAGGAGGUUGCAUCCCAAAGAUACCUACUGCAAUGGAGAAGUUGGAAGCUCUAGUCAGCUUUUUGAACCAGGCUGAUUAUUUUGGACAAGAAACACUACAGCAGAUGUCUUGUAUCCUAACAACUUGCCAGGUUGCUCGAGGCUUGCUUGCACUAGGAGAGUACUUCUAACGCCUUGGAGCUUUUAGUUCAAUUUGGGCCACCCAUCCUCGUGACACUGCCUAAUCGUAUACCAGAAAAAAUCAACAAGCUCAAAC
Molecule: long non-coding RNA, 465 nt
Organism: Mangifera indica (mango)
Lineage: Eukaryota; Viridiplantae; Streptophyta; Magnoliopsida; Sapindales; Anacardiaceae
Exons: 3
Source: RefSeq, a predicted model, not a curated record